UCAGGUGUGCCACAUAAUGGGAUUCCAAA
RNAcentral lists this non-coding RNA (29 nucleotides) under Rattus norvegicus (Norway rat). The record is from RNAcentral. Lineage: Eukaryota; Metazoa; Chordata; Mammalia; Rodentia; Muridae.